This 616-nucleotide ribosomal RNA is filed under the name basidiomycete yeast sp. BG01-7-22-001C-1-1. RNAcentral describes it as "eukaryotic LSU rRNA". It matches the Rfam family "Eukaryotic large subunit ribosomal RNA", at positions 40 to 648 of the family's 3401-position model. The record is from RNAcentral. Lineage: Eukaryota; Fungi; Basidiomycota.
AUAUCAAUAAGCGGAGGAAAAGAAACUAACAAGGAUUCCCCUAGUAGCGGCGAGUGAAGCGGGAAGAGCUCAAAUUUGUAAUCUGGCGUCUUUCAGGCGUCCGAGUUGUAAUCUAUAGAAGUGUUUUCCGUGCUGGACCAUGUCCAAGUCCCUUGGAACAGGGUAUCAAAGAGGGUGACAAUCCCGUACUUGACAUGACCACCAGUGCUCUGUGAUACACUCUCUACGAGUCGAGUUGUUUGGGAAUGCAGCUCAAAAUGGGUGGUAAAUUCCAUCUAAAGCUAAAUAUUGGCGAGAGACCGAUAGCGAACAAGUACCGUGAGGGAAAGAUGAAAAGCACUUUGGAAAGAGAGUUAAACAGUACGUGAAAUUGUUGAAAGGGAAACGAUUGAAGUCAGUCGUGUUCAUUGGACUCAGCCGGUUUUCGGUGUAUUUCCUUUGAACGGGUCAACAUCAGUUUUGUCCGGUGGAUAAAGGCAGGAAGAAAGUGGCUCCCUCGGGAGUGUUAUAGCUUUCUGUCACAUACACUGGAGGAGACUGAGGACUGCAGCUCGCCUUUUGGCCGGGGUUCGCCCACGUUCGAGCUUAGGAUGUUGACAUAAUGGCUUUAAACGAC